CCUUCGAUAGCUCUGUUGGUAGAGCGGGGGACUUGGGAUAUACAACUGUGAUCCCUAGAUCGCUGGUUCGAAUCCGGCUCGAAGGU
Molecule: transfer RNA, 86 nt
Filed under: Nematostella vectensis (starlet sea anemone)
Lineage: Eukaryota; Metazoa; Cnidaria; Anthozoa; Actiniaria; Edwardsiidae
Rfam family: tRNA
About the family: Transfer RNA (tRNA) molecules are approximately 80 nucleotides in length.
Source: Rfam by way of RNAcentral